UUCUAGUUUGCGUUAAGGAUUGAAGCGAUAUCCUUUUUUAGAAUUAAUUAAUUCUAAAAAAGAUUAAGCUAAAAGCCUGACGGCGC
RNAcentral lists this small RNA (86 nucleotides) under Leeuwenhoekiella aequorea. Its description in RNAcentral is "Flavo-1 RNA". It matches the Rfam family "Flavo-1 RNA". The record is from RNAcentral. Lineage: Bacteria; Pseudomonadati; Bacteroidota; Flavobacteriia; Flavobacteriales; Flavobacteriaceae.